GUGCCAGCAGCCGCGGUAAUACGAAGGUUGCUAGCGUUGUUCGGAAUCACUGGGCUUAAAGCGCAUGUAGGCGGCUCAUCAAGUGCCUUGUGAAAUCCCACGGCUCAACCGUGGAAUUGCUGGGUAUACUGUUCGAGCUUGAGGCAGGUAGGGGCGCGUGGAACUCUUGGUGGAGCGGUGGAAUGCGUAGAUAUCAAGAGGAACGCCGGUGGCGAAAGCGGCGCGCUGGGCCUGUCCUGACGCUGAGAUGCGAAAGCCAGGGGAGCAAACGGGAUUAGAAACCCUAGUAGUCC
RNAcentral lists this ribosomal RNA (293 nucleotides) under uncultured bacterium. Its description in RNAcentral is "partial 16S ribosomal RNA". It matches the Rfam family "Bacterial small subunit ribosomal RNA", at positions 505 to 796 of the family's 1533-position model. The record is from RNAcentral.